Molecule: long non-coding RNA, 1924 nt
Filed under: Marmota monax (woodchuck)
Lineage: Eukaryota; Metazoa; Chordata; Mammalia; Rodentia; Sciuridae
Source: RNAcentral
GUUUUUUUAAGAUUUUCUGUACAUAAUGUUUCAAGAGCCGUUCUGGAAACAUAAUCACAGAAAGAACCAUUUUAUAGAAAGAGAACCAAUUUCAAUUCCACUUACAGUUGUAUUCCUUUAGUUUAAGCCCUUAACCCUCCCAUAAACUGUAAUGUCCAUAAACUGUAUGUCCAGAAAAGUGAUAGAACGGACCCCAGGAAUCCUUUUUGCCUCUAAUCACACCAGACUCCACCCCUAACCUCCAUUCUUCCUUGUUCCCCAGCUCCAGGCAAACCAGGAUUCAUGCCUAAAGCCAAGGAAGGCUCUUCUAGAACUUCAUGCCUGGCAGCUUUUGAGCUUGCUGUUUCGUGUGCCUGGCAUGACCUUCCCUCUCUUCCCGGUUUUUUGUUUGUUUUGGUUGGUUAUUUUAUUUUCAGAAUAUAUAUAUCUCCUUUCAAUUUGCUUUUGCUUUGCUUUCUCUAUCAUGAAUUUCUCUCUCUCUCUCUCUCUCAUCAUAGAUAUAUGUAUAUAUUAUCAGCAAAUAUUCAUCUAUGGUCAUGUUGUUAUUCACCUAUGUUUUUUCUACUUCAAUACAAACACCUAAACAAAUUUCUACAGAAAUGGAAAUAAUACAAGCUGAUUUGAUAGUUUUUUUUAGAAUAACAUUUUUCUUCUUUUUAGGUUUAAGUCCCAUAACUUCAAAAUUACCCAACAUCCUCCUCCCUCUCCACUCCAGCCUGCUUUUUAAUUGCUCUGCACUUUCUAGUUACCUCUCAGUUCUUCAAAACCCAGGCAAUGUCACUCUUGCUCAGUCUGAUCUCUGAGGCAGGUUUCACUCACCCCGGAGGUCCUUGACUCCUUCUGCCUGUCCUCCCUGCAGCCCUGUCCCACAUGAUUAUGGUCCUCGGCACAUAGGUCCAUCUUCCCAACUGGUUAUGACUACAUCAGUGACAAGAGCUGGGUCUUGUUUGUCCUUGAACCUCUCGAAUCUAGAAAUAGUAACCGGCCCACAGUUAUUUCUUUAAAAGUAUUCAUGGUGGGCUGGGGAUGUGGCUCAAGUGGUAGCGUGCUCGCCUGGCAUGCGUGCGGCCCAGGUUCGAUCCUCAGCACCACAUACAAACAAAGAUGUUGUGUCUGCCGAAAACUGAAAAAUAAAUAUUAAAAAUUCUCUCUCUCUCUCUCCCCCUCUCUUUCUCACUCUCUCUUUAAAAAAAAAAAAAGUAUUCAUGGAAUGAAGGAAUUCUUUACUGCCAAUGGGUUGGUGGUAGAGAAAGUAUGGAAAUGGUAAGAUUUAAAAGGAGCUAUAUGCGAGGAGAAGAGGCUGGGUUGCUGAAGGCAAUUUCCUCUAGCUUUGCAAACAGCCAGUCCUGCUGAGAGGCACCCUAAGGUCCUCCUUUAUUAACAUCUCUUACAAGGUAGCACUAAUUGGCUUCUGUAGCUUAAAAUCUAUUGGCACAGUUGUUACAUUUGCCAAAGUAGUGUUUAAUGACUUGUAUCUCACACAAUAACAUGGGGCAAAUUUAAAAACUCAAAUUUGCUUUGGUUUUGUAUCCCUUACCAUCUGUUGGUUCCCGAUCCUGAUCCUGGAUUACCUCAUUCAUUUUUAUGUUAAUCAUUACCAACAAUAAACAGUUUGGAAAAGGACACGGGAAACUCAUGUAAAGGAGGAUGUUUUGACAGAGUAUUGUUUUCUUCUAAGCAAUCCUAGAAAACAGAAAGGCAUCAGGAAGCUGUUCUACUGAGAAAGACCCCCUUCCACUUGACCAUGAGUCAAAAAAGGAGGAAAAAUUCCUUAGAGAAACUAAGUCCCAGGUUUCAUUUGCCAGUAAAUUUCCUGGGUGCUCAAGACUCAGGUCCAAAGCUGAAAGCAGAAACAACUGUUCCCCAGCCCAGCAAUGGGUCCCACAGGAUGGCCACCUCAGAUACUGGUAAACCAUUAGCUGCU